Molecule: long non-coding RNA, 458 nt
Organism: Amphiprion ocellaris (clown anemonefish)
Lineage: Eukaryota; Metazoa; Chordata; Actinopteri; Pomacentridae
Exons: 3
Source: RefSeq, a predicted model, not a curated record
UUAUUUCCAGGAUGUCGUGGACGUAUCUUCUCCAGAGUGUGGGUCUGCAGAGCAGGGAUGGCUUUGGUUUCCAGGUCCUCCAUGAAAAAGUUACUCAUUAUGGCUGAAAGUGGAUCUUUUUUUCAACUUUAUUUUACCAGCAUUAAAACUUUGUCUGCAGAGAGAAAAGAACGACUCCGUUUUUUGCCAGACUGGAGGAUGUUGGAGGGAGUCUGUUAAUCUCUCUGGACCUGACAUUUGAAAACCUCCACCUCUCCUCACCCUCCCAGCCCACUGAUGUGAGGAAAUCCAGCUCUGAACAGACUGAACUCCUAAAUCCCUCCUGGAAGCUUCACCCUGAACAGACAACUGCAACGCCGUGGUAACGGGCAGAUUACAGCGUCAGACGUUCCUGCAGAAACCCUCAGAGCCCAGAGGGAUUCUUACCGAUGCUCAGGAGAUGGACGAGGAGAGGAAAC